UGCAGUCGAGCGGCAGCACGGNNNNGCUUGCUUNCUGGUGGNGAGCGGCGGACGGGUGAGUAAUGNNUNNNAAUCUGCCNGGNNGNGGGGGAUAACCUGGGGAAACCCNNGCUAAUACCGCAUACGUCCUACNGNANAAAGNNGGGGAUCUUCGGACCUUGCGCUAUCGGAUGAGUCUAUGUCGGAUUAGCUUGUUGGNGAGGUAAUGGCUCACCAAGGCGACGAUCCGUAGCUGGUCUGAGAGGAUGAUCAGCCACAUCGGGACUGAGGCACGGCCCGAACUCCUACGGGAGGCAGCAGUGGGGAAUAUUGGACAAUGGGCGAAAGCCUGAUCCAGCCAUGCCGCGUGUGUGAAGAAGGCCUUCGGGUUGUAAAGCACUUUCAGUGGGGAAGAANGCCUCGGGGCUAAUACCCUCGANGANNGACAUCACCCACAGAAGAAGCNCCGGCUAACUCCGUGCCAGCAGCCGCGGUAAUACGGAGGGUGCGAGCGUUAAUCGGAAUUACUGGGCGUAAAGCGCGCGUAGGCGGUCUGAUAAGCCGGUUGUGAAANCCCCGGGCUCAACCUGGGAACNGCAUCCGGAACUGUCAGGCUAGAGUGCAGGAGAGGAAGGUAGAAUUCCCGGUGUAGCGGUGAAAUGCGUAGAGAUCGGGAGGAAUACCAGUGGCGAAGGCGGCCUUCUGGACUGACACUGACGCUGAGGUGCGAAAGCGUGGGUAGCAAACAGGAUUAGAUACCCUGGUAGUCCACGCCGUAAACGAUGUCNACUAGCCGUUGGGCUCCUUGAGAGCUNUGUGGCGCANUUAACGCGAUAAGUCGACCGCCUGGGGAGUA
This 835-nucleotide ribosomal RNA is filed under the name uncultured bacterium. Its description in RNAcentral is "partial 16S small subunit ribosomal RNA". It matches the Rfam family "Bacterial small subunit ribosomal RNA", at positions 56 to 882 of the family's 1533-position model. The record is from RNAcentral.